UGACCAUCCUGCAGUAUCCAAGUCAGAUGAAGGACUCUACAAGUGUACCAACUCUGAAGGAGAAUCACCAGAGAGCUGGAUGACUGUUGACAGGGGAAACCAGGGUACCCAGGAAGACCCACCAAGACCAAUUAGGUGAUCAUGUUGAAGAAGAGUGAGGCUGAGAUCACCUGAUCACCAUAACAACCAUCAGAAUGGAACUCAUGGAAUUCUAAUAUAGAACUGUGAGUCACAAUGCUGUAUGUUGUUACAUUGUAGCUCCACCUGCUGGAACAAUAGUGGCAUUUGAUCAAAUGUGAUCUAUUAACUGAUACAUGUAUUAUUCUGAUUGGAAUGUGUUUUAAUAUAAUGUGUGUUGUAUUAUUCAUUCAGCAGC
Salvelinus sp. IW2-2015 is the source of this 376-nucleotide non-coding RNA. The record is from RefSeq and is a predicted model, not a curated record. Lineage: Eukaryota; Metazoa; Chordata; Actinopteri; Salmoniformes; Salmonidae.